AUGCAGUCGACGGUGNAAGCAGAGCUUGCUCUGUGGAUCAGUGGCGAACGGGUGAGUAACACGUGAGCAACCUGCCCCUGACUCUGGGAUAAGCGCUGGAAACGGCGUCUAAUACUGGAUAUGAGCUGCGACCGCAUGGUCAGCAGUUGGAAAGAUUUUUCGGUCUGGGAUGGGCUCACGGCCUAUCAGCUUGUUGGUGAGGUAAUGGCUCACCAAGGCGUCGACGGGUAGCCGGCCUGAGAGGGUGACCGGCCACACUGGGACUGAGACACGGCCCAGACUCCUACGGGAGGCAGCAGUGGGGAAUAUUGCACAAUGGGCGAAAGCCUGAUGCAGCAACGCCGCGUGAGGGAUGACGGCCUUCGGGUUGUAAACCUCUUUUAGCAGGGAAGAAGCGAAAGUGACGGUACCUGCAGAAAAAGCGCCGGCUAACUACGUGCCAGCAGCCGCGGUAAUACGUAGGGCGCAAGCGUUAUCCGGAAUUAUUGGGCGUAAAGAGCUCGUAGGCGGUUUGUCGCGUCUGCUGUGAAAUCCCGAGGCUCAACCUCGGGUCUGCAGUGGGUACGGGCAGACUAGAGUGCGGUAGGGGAGAUUGGAAUUCCUGGUGUAGCGGUGAAAUNNCGUAGAA
This 628-nucleotide ribosomal RNA is filed under the name Actinobacteridae bacterium AK-20. RNAcentral describes it as "bacterial SSU rRNA". It matches the Rfam family "Bacterial small subunit ribosomal RNA", at positions 55 to 695 of the family's 1533-position model. Lineage: Bacteria; Bacillati; Actinomycetota; Actinomycetes. The record is from RNAcentral.